UUCAAUAAUUAUAUUACUUGUAGCCAGGUCCUGGGAAUUGUCAGUCUAAAUUAAGUCUUACCUCAUAGUGGAAACUAAAGAAAGAAGCCUUUUUUCACACCUGAUCCAACCAAAAGAAGCACAGUUUUUCGUGAAGUUAGUUGAGGGAUGGAAAUUAUGAGCAAACUCUAACUCUUGAUCUGUGAUUUCAUGCUUGUUUGCUUCACUGCAUGCAAACGAAAAUCGGACGAAACAAAGUGAGUGGUAAAGUGAGAGAGAGAGAAAGGAAAGGAGUUACAUUAUGAGGCGAGAUGAGGCAAAGAUACGAUUUUCAAUCACCACCAUCGCCCCGCGAAAUUCGGGUCCAUGUGAGCAGAACAAAACCAACACAACAUUCUCUUUUAAAAAUAACAAAUUUUAAUACAUAAAUAAAGACACAUCAACAAAGUCAUCACUGAGUGAUCAUAUGCAAGCCUCUGUAGGUUAUUAUUAUUAUUUACUUACCGCUAAUUCACUUAUGCGGUUUAAAAAAAAUAUUAUAUUUUUGUUGAUUGUUUGAUUUGAUUCAGCAUGUAAACAAGAAGUAAACGUUUACAACAAUUUUAUUGUGCCUCUAUUUUAGUAUGCAUAACGAAAAUAUACAUACCUCUUUAGUUUACGCUUUUUAGUGUGUAUACAAAAAAACUACCUGCGACAGGACUGGAAUGGUGUACAGGAAGUAAAACAAACAACGGAUAUUCACAUCGAUAAAGUUAGUCGUAAUAUACUAAAAGCUAGAUAGAUAGAUAAAUAUAGGUGCAAACAUUAAGGUUUUUAUACAUAUUUCCCGAUUGAGUAACUUGGAAUAUUUGAUCACA
This is a long non-coding RNA of Folsomia candida, 836 nucleotides long. RefSeq lists it as uncharacterized. Lineage: Eukaryota; Metazoa; Arthropoda; Collembola; Entomobryomorpha; Isotomidae. The record is from RefSeq and is a predicted model, not a curated record. The transcript has 2 exons.